UGUCCGACAGUCGAAUUAGAGCGGAAAUAGGCAAAAAUCCAAAUUUCCGAAAUGUAUACCAUAUACACGGCGCACGACGAUACGUAUCGCACGAUAAAUUCUAAACUCGUAGCCAGAGCUCGAUUUCCGUAAUGGAAGAACAAUGAAGAGUGCUUCAGGAAACAAUACGAUAAUACGGGCGCCUGUUACGUGAGCGGAGCAGGAAUAGAGCAGUAGUAAAUGUCAUCGGAGUCGCGCAGUAAAGUUGCCAUUAACUCGUUAUACGUAUCGUGGAAUAAAAUGCACUGCAAUACGGGCAUACAUAAACUAAGCUCGGAUGACCAUAAUAUUUCUUCAUUUAAUCACAGGAAGAGGAACUUGAUGUGCGGGGCUGAAUAUUAAAGGAUAUAAGCUAAUGUUCCAAUGGAAACACAUCAACGAUAUCUACCUCGUCACGACUUCGACGAUCUCUUCAGGAAAACGAAGAAAAAUACAUCUCAUGAAAUUCACCCUGCCACAGCUAGAUGCUAUAAAUAAUUCAUGCCCUUUUCAUAUCUCCUGAGAAUGAAAGGUAUUCGAAGCAGAAAGAAAUUAUGUUUUUUAUAAAAUUUUUAAUCUUAUCAGUUUUUAAAAACUUACUGAAUA
Pogonomyrmex barbatus (red harvester ant) is the source of this 624-nucleotide long non-coding RNA. RefSeq lists it as uncharacterized. The record is from RefSeq and is a predicted model, not a curated record. NCBI's taxonomy places the organism in Eukaryota, Metazoa, Arthropoda, Insecta, Hymenoptera, Formicidae.